UGUGGCUCAGUGGUAGAGCGCUUGCCUAGCAUGCAUGAAGCCCUGGGUUCGAUUCCUCAGCA
This 62-nucleotide transfer RNA is filed under the name Dipodomys ordii (Ord's kangaroo rat). It matches the Rfam family "tRNA", at positions 6 to 65 of the family's 71-position model. Rfam says of the family: Transfer RNA (tRNA) molecules are approximately 80 nucleotides in length. Their secondary structure includes four short double-helical elements and three loops (D, anti-codon, and T loops). Further hydrogen bonds mediate the characteristic L-shaped molecular structure. tRNAs have two regions of fundamental functional importance: the anti-codon, which is responsible for specific mRNA codon recognition, and the 3' end, to which the tRNAs corresponding amino acid is attached (by aminoacyl-tRNA synthetases). tRNAs cope with the degeneracy of the genetic code in two manners: having more than one tRNA (with a specific anti-codon) for a particular amino acid; and 'wobble' base-pairing, i.e. permitting non-standard base-pairing at the 3rd anti-codon position. Lineage: Eukaryota; Metazoa; Chordata; Mammalia; Rodentia; Heteromyidae. The record is from Rfam by way of RNAcentral.